Molecule: ribosomal RNA, 253 nt
Filed under: uncultured bacterium
Lineage: Bacteria
Description: partial 16S ribosomal RNA
Rfam family: Bacterial small subunit ribosomal RNA
Source: RNAcentral
UACGUAGGGUGCGAGCGUUGUCCGGAAUUAUUGGGCGUAAAGGGCUCGUAGGCGGUUUGUCGCGUCGGGAGUGAAAACCCAGGGCUUAACCCUGGGCUGGCUUCCGAUACGGGCAGACUAGAGGUAUGCAGGGGAGAACGGAAUUCCUGGUGUAGCGGUGAAAUGCGCAGAUAUCAGGAGGAACACCGGUGGCGAAGGCGGCAUCCUGGACCGGCAUUGACGCUGAGGCGCGAAAGCCAGGGGAGCAAACGGG